CUACGUGCCAGCAGCCGCGGUAAUACGGAAGGUCCGGGCGUUAUCCGGAUUUAUUGGGUUUAAAGGGAGCGUAGGCUGGAGAUUAAGUGUGUUGUGAAAUGUAGACGCUCAACGUCUGAAUUGCAGCGCAUACUGGUUUCCUUGAGUACGCACAACGUUGGCGGAAUUCGUCGUGUAGCGGUGAAAUGCUUAGAUAUGACGAAGAACUCCGAUUGCGAAGGCAGCUGACGGGAGCGCAACUGACGCUUAAGCUCGAAGGUGCGGGUAUCAAACAGGAUUAGAUACCCUGGUAGUCCGCACAGUAAACGAUGGAUGCCCGCUGUUAGCGCCUGGCGUUAGCGGCUAAGCGAAAGCAUUAAGCAUCCCACCUGGGGAGUACGCCGGCAACGGUGAAACUCAAAGGAAUUGACGGGGGCCCGCACAAGCGGAGGAACAUGUGGUUUAAUUCGAUGAUACGCGAGGAACCUUACCCGGGCUUGAAUUGCAGAGGAAGGAUUUAGAGAUA
Molecule: ribosomal RNA, 505 nt
Filed under: uncultured bacterium
Lineage: Bacteria
Description: bacterial SSU rRNA
Rfam family: Bacterial small subunit ribosomal RNA
Source: RNAcentral